UACGGGGGGGGGCAAGCGUUGUUCGGAAUUACUGGGCGUAAAGGGCUCGUAGGUGGCCAACUAAGUCAGACGUGAAAUCCCCUCAGCUUAACUGGGGAACUGCGUCUGAUACUGGAUGGCUUGAGUUCGGGAGAGGGAUGCGGAAUUCCAAGGUGUAGCGGUGAAAUGCGUAGAUAUCUGGAGGAACACCGGUGGCGAAGGCGGCAUCCUGGACCGGCAUUGACGCUGAUGAGCGAAAGCCAGGGGAGCAAACGGG
Molecule: ribosomal RNA, 256 nt
Filed under: uncultured bacterium
Lineage: Bacteria
Description: partial 16S ribosomal RNA
Rfam family: Bacterial small subunit ribosomal RNA
Source: RNAcentral